ACCCGGUGGGCGUAUAGUUACUACCACAUGAAUCAUUUUUCUCAUUCUUUUCUAUCAUGGCAAUAUUUCUAACAUCAAUUAUAUCACAUCAAUCCACCACAAUUCAAUUAUAAACACCAAUAACUAUUACCUUGGGGUAUCAAUUUCACCUUUUCUUCUUUAAUUUCUCAAACUCCUUUCUCAAAUUCAUUUUUUUCAAUUAAAGAACUUAGAAGCCUUUUGAAUCAACUUAUGUUUU
Molecule: long non-coding RNA, 238 nt
Filed under: Capsicum annuum
Lineage: Eukaryota; Viridiplantae; Streptophyta; Magnoliopsida; Solanales; Solanaceae
Description: long non-coding RNA (CANN_LNC011004)
Source: RNAcentral